CCUACGGGAGGCUGCAGUGAGGAAUAUUGGUCAAUGGGCGAGAGCCUGAACCAGCCAAGUCGCGUGAGGGAGUACUGCCCUAUGGGUUGUAAACCUCUUUUGUCGGGGAGCAAAAGCCGGACGUGUCCGGCUGUGAGAGUACCCGAAGAAAAAGCAUCGGCUAACUUCGUGCCAGCAGCCGCGGUAAUACGGAGGAUGCGAGCGUUAUCCGGAUUUAUUGGGUUUAAAGGGUGCGCAGGCGGAUUUUUAAGUCAGCGGUAAAAUCGUGGGGCUCAACCCCAUCCAGCCGUUGACACUGGGGAUCUAGAGUGUGCGAGAGGUAUGCAGAAUGCGUGGUGUAGCGGUGAAAUGCAUAGAUAUCACGCAGAACCCCGAUUGCGAAGGCAGCAUACCGGUGCACAACUGACGCUCAGGCACGAAAGCGUGGGUAUCGAACAGGAUUAGAUACCCGAGUAGUC
Molecule: ribosomal RNA, 458 nt
Filed under: uncultured bacterium
Lineage: Bacteria
Description: partial 16S ribosomal RNA
Rfam family: Bacterial small subunit ribosomal RNA
Source: RNAcentral